This 460-nucleotide ribosomal RNA is filed under the name uncultured bacterium. Its description in RNAcentral is "partial 16S ribosomal RNA". It matches the Rfam family "Bacterial small subunit ribosomal RNA", at positions 338 to 795 of the family's 1533-position model. The record is from RNAcentral.
CCUACGGGCGGCAGCAGUGAGGAAUAUUGGUCAAUGGACGAGAGUCUGAACCAGCCAAGUAGCGUGAAGGAUGACUGCCCUAUGGGUUGUAAACUUCUUUUAUAAAGGAAUAAAACGAGGCACGUGUGCCUUUUUGCAUGUACUUUAUGAAUAAGGAUCGGCUAACUCCGUGCCAGCAGCCGCGGUAAUACGGAGGAUCCGAGCGUUAUCCGGAUUUAUUGGGUUUAAAGGGAGCGUAGAUGGGUUGUUAAGUCAGUUGUGAAAGUUUGCGGCUCAACCGUAAAAUUGCAAUUGAUACUGGCAGUCGUGAGUACAGUUGAGGUAAGCGGAAUUCGUGGUGUAGCGGUGAAAUGCUUAGAUAGCACGAAGAACCCCGAUUGCGAAGGCAGCUUACUAAACUGUGACUGACAUUGAUGCUCGAAAGUGUGGGUAUCAAACAGGAUUAGAUACCCCGGUAGUC